AACGCAUAUUGCGCCCUUUGGCAUUCCGAGGGGCAUGCCUGUCCGAGCGUCAUUAAUCAUUAAUCAAGCACGGCUUGUUGUUGAGCAUCCUUUGUCCCCGACCCCCCUCUUUUUUGUUGGGGGAGGGACAGGCUUGAAAUGCAGUGGCGAUCGCUGAGAUUGGUUGCUCGAGUGUAUAGGGCUCCGUCACACACUCUGGUUGGCUCCAGCUCGCAUUCUGCCAUAACCCUUUUUUUUUUAGUCUGAUUGACCUCGGAUCAGGCAGGAAAACCCGCUGAACUUAA
This 284-nucleotide unclassified non-coding RNA is filed under the name uncultured Ascomycota. Its description in RNAcentral is "sequence contains 5.8S rRNA gene, ITS2, 28S rRNA gene". The record is from RNAcentral. Lineage: Eukaryota; Fungi; Ascomycota.